This 489-nucleotide small RNA is filed under the name Arabidopsis thaliana (thale cress). Its description in RNAcentral is "ATSL168360". The record is from RNAcentral. Lineage: Eukaryota; Viridiplantae; Streptophyta; Magnoliopsida; Brassicales; Brassicaceae.
GCAAGGGAUCAUGGAAUACAAGUUCUACAACUUAGCUUUACUCUUAGCUGAUGGUUCUGUUGCACAUCCUCAUGGUCUAAUAGAAAAUUUGCCUGUCAAGAUUGGAAAUGUUGAUAUACCUACAGAUUUUGUGGUAUUGGACGUAGAUGAAGAAGGCAAGGAUCCCCUGAUCCUAGGCAAACCAUUCUUAGCUUCUGCUGGAGCAGUCAUAGAUGUCAGGAAUGGAAAAAUUAAUCUGAACCUUGAAAAAGGCAUCAAGAUGAAGUUUGACAUCAGAAAAGCUUCAGGGAAAUCAACAACAGGAGGUUAGAAUUUUGGGAUUCAGGACAUGGAUGUUGAUGAAGAAACAGAAGCUGGAACCUCACCAAGAGUUAACUAUACUUCUCAACUCAGCAAGCGGAAGAGAACUUUUGACCACAAGAAGAGAGCAAUAUAAGGGUUAGCUCAAACUGAAGAUCCUACAAAAGAUGACUCGUAUGAGAUAAGAAA